This 460-nucleotide ribosomal RNA is filed under the name Methylomirabilis oxygeniifera (SeqCode). Its description in RNAcentral is "bacterial SSU rRNA". It matches the Rfam family "Bacterial small subunit ribosomal RNA", at positions 977 to 1434 of the family's 1533-position model. RNAcentral also lists the same sequence under 1 other name. The record is from RNAcentral. Lineage: Bacteria; Methylomirabilota (SeqCode); Methylomirabilia (SeqCode); Methylomirabilales (SeqCode); Methylomirabilaceae (SeqCode).
GGGCUUGACAUCCCACGAACCCCUUCGAAAGAAGGGAGUGCCCGCAAGGGAGCGCGGAGACAGGUGGUGCAUGGCUGUCGUCAGCUCGUGUCGUGAGAUGUUGGGUUAAGUCCCGCAACGAGCGCAACCCUCACCUCUUGUUGCCACCAGGUCAUGCUGGGCACUCUAGAGGAACUGCCCCGGUCAACGGGGAGGAAGGCGGGGAUGACGUCAAGUCAUCAUGCCCCUUACGUCCUGGGCUACACACGUGCUACAAUGGCCGGUACAAAGGGAUGCCACACCGCGAGGUAGAGCUAAACCCAAAAAGCCGGUCUAAGUUCAGAUUGGAGUCUGCAACUCGACUCCAUGAAGGAGGAAUCGCUAGUAAUCGCGUAUCAGCACGACGCGGUGAAUACGUUCCCGGGCCUUGUACACACCGCCCGUCACACCACGAAAGCCCGUUGUACUCGAAGUCGCUGAG